This 79-nucleotide microRNA precursor is filed under the name Saimiri boliviensis boliviensis (Bolivian squirrel monkey). Its description in RNAcentral is "miRNA (ENSSBOG00000036300.1)". Lineage: Eukaryota; Metazoa; Chordata; Mammalia; Primates; Cebidae. The record is from RNAcentral.
UAGGUCGGUGCAAAAGUAAUUGCGAGUUUUGCCAUUAAAAGUAAUGGCAAAGCAUGAUUACUUUUGCACCAAUGCAAUA